UACAGAGGGGGCAAGCGUUGUUCGGAAUUACUGGGCGUAAAGGGCGCGUAGGCGGCCUGCUAAGUCGAACGUGAAAUCCCCGGGCUCAACCCGGGAACUGCGUCCGAUACUGACAGGCUUGAAUCCGGGAGAGGGAUGUGGAAUUCCAGGUGUAGCGGUGAAAUGCGUAGAUAUCAGGAGGAACACCAAUGGCGAAGGCAGCUCGCUGGGACGGUACUGACGCUGAGGCGCGAAAGCGUGGGGAGCAAACAGG
This 253-nucleotide ribosomal RNA is filed under the name uncultured bacterium. Its description in RNAcentral is "partial 16S ribosomal RNA". It matches the Rfam family "Bacterial small subunit ribosomal RNA", at positions 524 to 776 of the family's 1533-position model. The record is from RNAcentral.